GACAGAGGGUGCAAACGUUGCUCGGAAUCACUGGGCGUAAAGGGCGUGUAGGCGGGAAGGAAAGUCAGAUGUGAAAUCCCCAGGCUCAACCUGGGAACUGCAUUUGAAACUCCCUUUCUUGAGUACCGGAGAGGAAAGUGGAAUUCCUGGCGUAGAGGUGAAAUUCGUAGAUAUCAGGAGGAACACCAGUGGCGAAGGCGGCUUUCUGGACGGUAACUGACGCUGAGACGCGAAAGCGUGGGGAGCAAACAGG
RNAcentral lists this ribosomal RNA (253 nucleotides) under uncultured bacterium. Its description in RNAcentral is "partial 16S ribosomal RNA". It matches the Rfam family "Bacterial small subunit ribosomal RNA", at positions 524 to 776 of the family's 1533-position model. The record is from RNAcentral.